CAGUAGCCGCGGGAAUACGGAGGGUGCAAGCGUUAAUCGGAAUCACUGGGCGUAAAGCGCACGCAGGCGGUCUGUCAAGUCAGAUGUGAAAUCCCCGGGCUUAACCUGGGAACUGCAUUUGAAACUGGCAGGCUAGAGUCUUGUAGAGGGGGGUAGAAUUCCAGGUGUAGCGGUGAAAUGCGUAGAGAUCUGGAGGAAUACCGGUGGCGAAGGCGGCCCCCUGGACAAAGACUGACGCUCAGGUGCGAAAGCGUGGGGAGCAAACAGGAUUAGAUACCCGUGUAGUCCCUGUCUCUUAUAA
RNAcentral lists this ribosomal RNA (301 nucleotides) under uncultured bacterium. RNAcentral's name for it is "partial 16S ribosomal RNA". It matches the Rfam family "Bacterial small subunit ribosomal RNA", at positions 509 to 809 of the family's 1533-position model. The record is from RNAcentral.